CAAUUGAUACGCAUCCCUGCGAGUAGAGUAUCGGUUUUAAGAAGCUCCACAGUCCAAUCAAUGGUGUGAAUCUUUGCGAUCACAGCUGAAGUCACCAAUCUUGCAUGGCGAUAAAGUUCUUCAUCAUUCAGAUCAGGGGACUGCAGAGUUGAAACACCAGCCCAACUGUUGCGGACGUCACCUGCAACUGCUGUUCCAUUUUCGUUAUGCACAAGGCAAAGUGUAGCAGAAAUCUAACCACCAAGGUGUUCGAAUGUUUAAUGAUCCGGAUUUGAUCUCAUAGAAUCCAGUGGGAACAGUAGGAAUUUCCUUAGUCUUGAAGAAUUUGAAAGAUUUUAGAGGGCAUUGGCUUGAAACUUCUUUUGGUGCAGUGAGUUCAAUCUACAUAUAUGUAUCACAAUUCCGUGAACAGAUUAAAUAUCUUCUUCUGUAUAUCUCAACAAAAAAGCUCAUUAUGUGCAGUUAUCACACAAAUAUAUUUUUUAAUGGACAAAUAUAAAUUGUUUUAUAUUUGACAUUUAAAAGUAAUAUUGAAAUAAGUUUUAGAAAUUGGUUACAGGGUCAUAGA
This is a long non-coding RNA of Vigna unguiculata (cowpea), 568 nucleotides long. RefSeq lists it as uncharacterized. NCBI's taxonomy places the organism in Eukaryota, Viridiplantae, Streptophyta, Magnoliopsida, Fabales, Fabaceae. The record is from RefSeq and is a predicted model, not a curated record.